RNAcentral lists this long non-coding RNA (2194 nucleotides) under Struthio camelus australis. RNAcentral describes it as "lncRNA (ENSSCUG00000017381.1)". Lineage: Eukaryota; Metazoa; Chordata; Aves; Struthioniformes; Struthionidae. The record is from RNAcentral.
GGGAAGGCUCCUGUCACAGCCCAGCUUGGCCCCGCUGUUAGGGGGGAGCAUGGGAGGCUAAACCUGGGACAGGGCACGUGGGAGGGCAGGAGGCCAGCGCCUUGCCAGGCUCUACUGGAGAGGGGGAGGAAUAAGCAAUAAAAAUGGGGAAGGCAGAGGCGAAAUCUCAGCGGGACCGACCGGUCCUUGGAGGAAGCCAGCAAUCGUCAGCUUUUGGGGAGGUGUCUCAAGGCCCAAAGGGAGGAUCGCGGGAAGGGCUUUGGGCAGAUGCUGUGGCUCUCGGGGCCGCCGCAGUGUCUCUGUUCCUUGAGCUAGCAAAGACACUUACAUGAAGAACUGGGUUCCAGGAGCUGUCCUUGUAUCAACAGCAGACAGCAGCGACCCAAGCCACCUGCGGGCCCUGGACUUCACCCUGGGCAGCCCUCAGGAGAUCAGCCAAGCCUGGAUGCCCUCACUGAUGGAGCAGCUGGGACAAAUGAGCUGGGGCACCACGGCAUCCCCUUGCACCAGGAGCAUGACAGCUCUGCGUAACCACGGCCCCUUCCUGCGGCCCGAGCCCCCGUCAGCGCUCUGCUCCCAGAGGAGCAGCCUGCUCUGAGGACGUGCUGGGCUGGAGGCAGAAAAAGGCACUGGGUAAAACCCCUCUGCGACCAGUCGCUGAUGCAUUGGGAUGUGCCGAUCCCCGCGGCUGUCCCUGUUUCCCGAGCCCUGGGUGGUGGCUGCUUCCUUUACUUCCCCAAAGUAAAGGCGAGGGAGCAGUUCUCGCACAUCACCGCAGCUUUCUGGUUGCACAGAGCACGUUUCCUCCCGCUAACGGCCAAAGUCUCAGUGUGCAAUCCCCUCCCUGCCCUGUUCCUGCACCUUGAGACCCCCGGGCAUCUCCUUCCCCGGGGGCAGCUUGGCGCCCGCUGCCGUUCCUGCGCAUGCCCUGGGGCGCCGCAGCGGUGCUCCGAGCGCGGUGAUUUNNNNNNNNNNNNCGUCACCGCUGCCGCCGCCGCAGCGCUCCCCUUCUAUUUUCAUUUGCUUUGCUUGUUUGCUGCAUUGUUUCCUGUGCUCAAAGAGCUUCGGGAGGUCGCUCUGUGUCCGACCCACGGGAACAACGCCGGGCGGUCCCUCCGCUCUCCCUGGCUCCCCUGUCAUGGCUGCUGUCCUCACAGGUGGCUGCUGCUGGGGGUAUUUUGCUUGCAAGCCUGCCCUACUUUGGAUCAGCCCACAACAUCUUUUAUUUUGAGGUCAGUGACAGCUGCUGGCAGACCCAGCCUUACUCUGUGUUUUGCUUUUUAAGCAGCUCAAUGCAGAUACAAAAUUAACAGCUUUCUUGGGCUGCUUUAACUGUUUCAUUAUUUGUGCAGAGGAACUGAGGAUGAAUUGGUGUGGCGCACAUGGCUUCCAUGCAGCUGCAGCCGUUUGUGUCAGAUGAGGAUUUGAUCCUUCUGCUUAAUCCCAGGUUUGGUUUUAUUGAGCCCUUACUAAUAUAUGCGUUCUUCUGAGCUCAUGUAUAAUCUGCAGUAUAAUUCUUGUAUUCCUCUUCCCUAGAGGAAGGAGGCAAAGGAGAGAGCGGUUCUUUGCAGCUGUCUGGUGCCCUUUGCAUCCUCCUCCCUCCAGAACAUGCUGUGGUUUUCUGGCAAGGCAUUUUGUAGCGCAUCGCUCACGGUCCACUCCCUGCCGGACAUGCCACCAGGGCAGUUGCUCCCCGAAUACCCGCUCGAGUUGCUCUCUUUUACCUCAGCUCUUCUGCUGCCCUCCACCCCGAAGAGCCCAGCUCGGAGAAGCUCCUCGGUGCGGGGUCAUUGCUGUGCUCAGAGGAGCACAGGACGGUCCCUUUCUGCAAACAGCUCAGGGGGAGGGGGGAGAAGGAAUUUCACUAAGAAUUUCCUCGCUGAGGGCCCUGAUUCCUGGCCGAGUCUCUUGGGAGAGGAAUUUAAGCAGGCUGGGAUGUGUUUGGGGCGGCCAGCGGGUGCCGGGCCACGCAUGCUGCUAGGACGGAUGCUCUACAGCUCCCUCGGCCCCUCUCUGCCAGCCUCCCGGCAGCCCUAGCAGCCUGGGGCGUUCCCAAUUCCCGGCCAGCCAGAAACGAGUGGGGCUCCUCACUCACAAAAAUGCAAAAGGAAACUGCGUCUGGCCUCAGCGGUCGAGCGUGAAAGUGGAGGGACAUGCAGCUGUGAUUUUGCCCAGAUCAACACUGAGAAGCCCC